UCCCCGUCUGUCCUUUAUCAUUUGGCGCCUGGCUUUCACCCAGGCGGCCCGGGUUCGAUUCCCGGCAUGGGAA
This is a non-coding RNA of Trichonephila inaurata madagascariensis, 73 nucleotides long. The record is from the annotation of a GenBank genome assembly. NCBI's taxonomy places the organism in Eukaryota, Metazoa, Arthropoda, Arachnida, Araneae, Nephilidae.